Molecule: ribosomal RNA, 61 nt
Filed under: Solobacterium sp.
Lineage: Bacteria; Bacillati; Bacillota; Erysipelotrichia; Erysipelotrichales; Erysipelotrichaceae
Description: partial 23S ribosomal RNA
Source: RNAcentral
GAGAUGUAAGUGUAGCGAUACAUUCAGUUGACUGAUACUAAUAGGUCGAAGAUUUAUUCAC